RNAcentral lists this ribosomal RNA (30 nucleotides) under Candida albicans. Its description in RNAcentral is "partial 28S ribosomal RNA". Lineage: Eukaryota; Fungi; Ascomycota; Pichiomycetes; Serinales; Debaryomycetaceae. The record is from RNAcentral.
UUGACCUCAAAUCAGGUAGACUUCCCCGUU